RNAcentral lists this ribosomal RNA (322 nucleotides) under uncultured eukaryote. RNAcentral describes it as "partial 18S ribosomal RNA". It matches the Rfam family "Eukaryotic small subunit ribosomal RNA", at positions 1470 to 1796 of the family's 1831-position model. The record is from RNAcentral.
CCCUUAGAUGUUCUGGGCCGCACGCGUGCUACACUGAGUGGAUCAGCGGGUCAGGUUGCGCGAAAGCGUUUCCUAAUCUUUAAAUCCGCUCGUGAUGGGGAUUGACGGUUGCAAUUUUCUGCCAUGAACGAGGAAUACCUUGUAAGCGCGGGUCAUCAUCCCGCGCUGAAUACGUCCCUGCCCUUUGUACACACCGCCCGUCGCUCCUACCGAUUGAGUGAUCCGGUGAGGCUCUGGGACCUGGACGGAAAGAGCGUUUCGCUUGUUCUGUUUGGGAAACUUGGUCGAACCUUAUCAUUUAGAGGAAGGAGAAGUCGUAACA